This 201-nucleotide ribosomal RNA is filed under the name Salmonella enterica. RNAcentral's name for it is "partial 23S ribosomal RNA". It matches the Rfam family "Bacterial large subunit ribosomal RNA", at positions 568 to 772 of the family's 2925-position model. Lineage: Bacteria; Pseudomonadati; Pseudomonadota; Gammaproteobacteria; Enterobacterales; Enterobacteriaceae. The record is from RNAcentral.
AAGCAGAGGGGGCUUAGUGGUGGGGUGACUGCGUACCUUUUGUAUAAUGGGUCAGCGACUUAUAUUCUGUAGCAAGGUUAACCGUAUAGGGGAGCCGUAGGGAAACCGAGUCUUAACCGGGCGUUAAGUUGCAGGGUAUAGACCCGAAACCCGGUGAUCUAGCCAUGGGCAGGUUGAAGGUUGGGUAACACUAACUGGAGG